AUUGAACGCUGGCGGCAGGCCUAACACAUGCAAGUCGAGCGGAUGAAGGGAGCUUGCUCCUGGAUUCAGCGGCGGACGGGUGAGUAAUGCCUAGGAAUCGGCCUGGUAGUGGGGGAUAACGUCCGGAAACGGGCGCUAAUACCGCAUACGUCCUGAGGGAGAAAGUGGGGGAUCUUCGGACCUCACGCUAUCAGAUGAGCCUAGGUCGGAUUAGCUAGUGGGUGGGGUAAAGGCCUACCAAGGCGACGAUCCGUAACUGGUCUGAGAGGAUGAUCAGUCACACUGGAACUGAGACACGGUCCAGACUCCUACGGGAGGCAGCAGUGGGGAAUAUUGGACAAUGGGCGAAAGCCUGAUCCAGCCAUGCCGCGUGUGUGAAGAAGGUCUUCGGAUUUUAAAGCACUUUAAGUUGGGAGGAAGGGCAGUAAGUUAAUACCUUGCUGUUUUGACGUUACCAACAGAAUAAGCACCGGCUAACUUCGUG
Molecule: ribosomal RNA, 484 nt
Filed under: uncultured bacterium
Lineage: Bacteria
Description: partial 16S ribosomal RNA
Rfam family: Bacterial small subunit ribosomal RNA
Source: RNAcentral